This 390-nucleotide long non-coding RNA is filed under the name Theobroma cacao (cacao). RNAcentral describes it as "long non-coding RNA (TCAC_LNC002881)". The record is from RNAcentral. Lineage: Eukaryota; Viridiplantae; Streptophyta; Magnoliopsida; Malvales; Malvaceae.
UUGAUUAAGACGAGAAUUAAUCUCAGAGUUGCAUCCUAGAAAGUAAAGGUUCGUAGCCCUACAUUUUCUUAGUCAGUUGGGGGCCCACGUGUCACUGUAAAAGUAAUUUUAUUCUUCAGUUAUUUGAUUUAAAGUAUGUAUGAAUAUAUUUAGCUUUUACACCAUGUUUUUGGCGAGUUUCGGUAUUUUCAAAGAAAAAUGAUGAAAAUGCCCUUGUGAGCCAGAAAGUAAUAUUUUAUUGUUUUGAUUUGGAAAUGACUUAUGAUUUUUUUGAAAUGUGAGAUUUAAUAACUGUCGCUCACUGGGGAGAUGCGGAAGCUGAUGCUAAGCCUUGCGGGGUUUCGAUCGGCAUUCGGGGUAAUGAGUGCCUAUCGGGACGUCGCGGCGGUU